GGCUUGGAUUGUAUCUUUUGUAUGUGUGAAAAAAAAAUGAUCGAUAUUUUUUUUGCGACAUUAAUCAUUAAUUGGAUCGUGCUCCACACAAAUCUCAAAGCAUUGCACUAUUUCAUCCAUCCAUUUGUAUGAGAUCUCUCAAAAUAUUUCAUGCUUUCAUCCAUCCAUCUGCAUGGAUCUCAAAGCAAUCAUUAUACAAUCCAUCGAUAAAUUCAUGUGAAGAUAAAUCCUUGUUUCGUGUGAAAGAUUUAACCUCUGCCCUCCGUCAUUUGCUUAGAUUUUUAUUUAUUUAUUUUUUGGCCUUAAAAUACUCUUAACCAUUCGAUCAUAUUCCAUACAAAUCUGGAAACAUUCCACACUUUUUCAUCCAUCCACUUUCAUGGAUCUCAAAUCGAUCAUUGUGCGAUUCAAUGGUAGAUUUAUGUGAAGGAAGAUGAAUCCUUUCUCCAUGCAAAUGAUGCAACCCCUACCCUCCACCACUUACUCCUUAUGCUUUUUUCUUAUUUAUCUUUUGACCUUAAAAAAUAUUCUUGCAUUUAUUCACUGCUCUAUAGCAUCUAGAAGUUCCUUCAUCAUUUCACUACGACGUCUGUCCGGCACAUCUUUCAGAAAGCGAACAAUACCGCAAAUGUGAUUGCAUCUUUUGUUGCUAGGUAUAUCAGAGAUUAGACAUGGUGUCAAGACGACAAUUGCCCAUGAACCCUACGAAAUAUUUUGUAUUCUGAUUUUUAGGACUGUAUUCAUACUAGAAGAACGUAGUUGCCUACUUAUACCCCCCAAAGAAAAACCCUCUUGCAUGCCCUUUCUAUUUUAUCACAUAACACCUACCUUUGAAGACCUUUGACUCAUGUCUGAGUGCAAGGUCAACAAAGUUUUUGUAAUCAUAUGAAAUCAUCCGGGAUC
RNAcentral lists this long non-coding RNA (903 nucleotides) under Elaeis guineensis (African oil palm). RNAcentral describes it as "long non-coding RNA (EGUI_LNC046812)". Lineage: Eukaryota; Viridiplantae; Streptophyta; Magnoliopsida; Arecales; Arecaceae. The record is from RNAcentral.